This 497-nucleotide ribosomal RNA is filed under the name uncultured bacterium. RNAcentral's name for it is "partial 16S ribosomal RNA". It matches the Rfam family "Bacterial small subunit ribosomal RNA", at positions 28 to 507 of the family's 1533-position model. The record is from RNAcentral.
GAUGAACGCUGGCGGCGUGCCUAAUACAUGCAAGUCGAGCGAACGGACGAGGAGCUUGCUUCUCUGACGUUAGCGGCGGACGGGUGAGUAACACGUGGAUAACCUACCUAUAAGACUGGGAUAACUUCGGGAAACCGUAGCUAAUACCGGAUAAUAUUUUGAACCGCAUGGUUCAAUAGUGAAAGACGGUUUUGCUGUCACUUAUAGAUGGAUCCGCGCUGCAUUAGCUAGUUGGUAAGGUAACGGCUUACCAAGGCAACGAUGCGUAGCCGACCUGAGAGGGUGAUCGGCCACACUGGAACUGAGACACGGUCCAGACUCCUACGGGAGGCAGCAGUAGGGAAUCUUCCGCAAUGGGCGAAAGCCUGACGGAGCAACGCCGCGUGAGUGAUGAAGGUCUUCGGAUCGUAAAACUCUGUUAUUAGGGAAGAACAUAUGUGUAAGUAACUGUGCACGUCUUGACGGUACCUAAUCAGAAAGCCACGGCUAACUACGUG